RNAcentral lists this small RNA (425 nucleotides) under Saccharomyces paradoxus NRRL Y-17217. Its description in RNAcentral is "RNA of unknown function 20". It matches the Rfam family "RNA of unknown function 20". The record is from Rfam by way of RNAcentral. Lineage: Eukaryota; Fungi; Ascomycota; Saccharomycetes; Saccharomycetales; Saccharomycetaceae.
ACGUGGGUUUUUUUUGAAUUGGAUGAUUAUGCAACCAUACAGGAACCUUACAUAAGCGCAAGUAGUUGAAUAGUAGAUCUAACCAGUAAAACUUUACUACCAGUGGGAUUAAUGGAACGAAUUAGACGUACUCGAUCUUGCAAGUAAAAUCUACGCACAGGAUAAGAAGUCCCAGGGGAAGCUAGGUACUUCUUUCCCGCUGCAAUAUUUUUCUAAAUUCUGUCUUGAUUUUCUUCAAAUUGCUUGAGGAAAAUAACUUCUAAGCAGUAUGCUGAGAAGGGUUGGCAUGGGAUGUUUGAAUUGUUUAGAUAAUAUAAAAGAGACAUCUAAUAUGACUAAUAAAAAAUAGUAAGUAUGGUAUACAAAAAAAAAUACAAAGAACGUGUAUAUAUAAAGGAAAAAUAACCUGCGAAUAUUGAGAAAAG